This 207-nucleotide ribosomal RNA is filed under the name uncultured Eubacteriales bacterium. RNAcentral describes it as "uncultured Clostridiales bacterium partial 16S ribosomal RNA". It matches the Rfam family "Bacterial small subunit ribosomal RNA", at positions 568 to 774 of the family's 1533-position model. The record is from RNAcentral. Lineage: Bacteria; Bacillati; Bacillota; Clostridia; Eubacteriales.
AGCGCAGGCGGACGGCUAAGUCUGAUGUGAAAGCCCGGGGCUCAACCCCGGGACUGCAUUGGAAACUGGUUGUCUUGAGUGUCGGAGAGGUAAGUGGAAUUCCUAGUGUAGCGGUGAAAUGCGUAGAUAUUAGGAGGAACACCAGUGGCGAAGGCGGCUUACUGGACGACAACUGACGCUGAGGCUCGAAAGCGUGGGGAGCAAACA